Long non-coding RNA from Triticum aestivum (bread wheat), 1009 nucleotides. RefSeq lists it as uncharacterized. The record is from RefSeq and is a predicted model, not a curated record. The transcript is spliced from 6 exons. Lineage: Eukaryota; Viridiplantae; Streptophyta; Magnoliopsida; Poales; Poaceae.
GUCGGCGCUCUGCCCUGCCCCUCCAGUGGCCGAUUCUUCAUCGACUCCGGCAUAUGAGGGCAUAGGUAAAGAAAGAGAAUUACCUGCAAGUCAUGGUUGUUAUAGGCCGAGGGAGCUUGAUACGCUCAAGGGGUGCCAUGUGGAGUUGUUUUCCAAGAUGUAGGGGCUUGACUUCGACACCAUCUAGCAGUCAGUACACAGUUUGAUGAUCUGGGCUCCCAUGACUGCCUCCUUGGCUAGGACUACUUAGGGCACUAAAGGAGAGGUGCAUCGAUGACCUAUGACCAUUCAGGCUCAAGAUCUUGUUGAAGAUGGAUGGCAUGGUGAACCCGAAGACCAUCAUAACUGGCGAUGCAAGCAGUAACAGAAGCUGACAUGUCUUUGAUUAGAUUCAUCAACUUAGUUUGUUUAGUUUUGUUGUUUCAAUAUUACAGGAGAGCAUAGGCUAAGAAAGAGAUUUACCUAGAAGUCAUUGUUGUUACAAGAUGAUGGAACUUGAUGCGCUCUAGGGGUGCCAUGUGGAGUCGGUUGUCAAGCCGAAUGGUCUCGACAUCGACACAAUCCAACACUCUGUACAUGGUGUGAUGAUCUGGGCUCCCAUGACUGCGUCCCCGAGCAGAACGAGUUAGUUCCACGACGACCACCUGGCUGGUGCACCGCUGGAUGCUAUUUGAUCCAAUUGGCUACGCCUUUGGCUGGGGCAUGUUCAACAUGGAUGACAUCAGAUGGGGAAGCCCUUACGGUGUCGGAGUCUUCCCUCGUGAUGAUAGAUAGAUUUUCCCUUGCCGAGCAUCAAGGCUGGGGGAACUGGAUACGCUCAAGCUGGAGGGCCUCGACAUCGAGACCAUCCAGCAAUCUAUAUACAGUGUGAUGAUCUGGGCGCCCAUGACUGCGUCCAUACUCAGCUGGACUGUGAUCACCUGGCUGGUGCAUCACGGGAUGCUAUUUGAUCCAAUCGACUGCACCUUUGGCUUGGGCAUACUCAACAUGGACGGCAUCACCACUUAGG